This is a non-coding RNA of Nomia melanderi (Alkali bee), 73 nucleotides long. Lineage: Eukaryota; Metazoa; Arthropoda; Insecta; Hymenoptera; Halictidae. The record is from the annotation of a RefSeq genome assembly.
GUCCGGCUAGCUCAGUUGGUACAGCAUGAGACUCUUAAUCUCGGGGUCAUGGAUUCGAACGCCGUAUUGGACG